GGACACAGUGAAAGCAGUGCUGAAAGGAAAAUUCAUAGCACUAUGUGCUCUGGUAAAGAAACUGGAGAGAUCUUACACUAGCAACUUAACAACACACACAAAAGCUCUAGAACAAACAGAAGCAAACACACCCAAGAGGAGAAGGCAUGAAAUAGUCAGUCUCAGGGCUGAAAUCCACCAAGUAGAAACAAAGAGAACUAUACAAAGAAUCACCAAAAUCAAAAGUUGACUCUUUGAGAGAAUCAACAACAAAGAUAAACCACUAGACAAACUAACUAAAAGGCUCAGAGGCAGUAUCCAAAUUAACAAAAUCAGAAGUGAAAAGGGUGACAUAACAACACAAAGAGGAAAUCCAAAAAAAUCAACAGAUUCAACUACAAAAACCUAUAUUCAACCAAACUAGAAAAUCUAGAUGAAAUAGAUGAUUUUCUAGACAGAUACUAUAUUCCAAAGUUAAAUCAUGAGUAGAUAAACUAUCAAAACAGGCCCAUAUCCACUAAGGAAAUUGGAGAAGUCAUUAAAAAACCUUACAACCAAAAAGAAAAAAAAAAAG
RNAcentral lists this long non-coding RNA (553 nucleotides) under Rattus norvegicus (Norway rat). RNAcentral's name for it is "long non-coding RNA NONRATT018309". The record is from RNAcentral. Lineage: Eukaryota; Metazoa; Chordata; Mammalia; Rodentia; Muridae.